GCAGAGUGCUGAAAGGCCUUGAGGAGAAGCUGUGUGAGGAGGGACUGAGGUCCCUUGGUCUGUUCAGCCUGGAGGAGACUGAGGGAAGACCUCACUGCAGUUACAACUUCCUCGUGAA
Molecule: long non-coding RNA, 118 nt
Organism: Corvus hawaiiensis (hawaiian crow)
Lineage: Eukaryota; Metazoa; Chordata; Aves; Passeriformes; Corvidae
Exons: 3
Source: RefSeq, a predicted model, not a curated record